This 491-nucleotide ribosomal RNA is filed under the name uncultured bacterium. RNAcentral describes it as "partial 16S ribosomal RNA". It matches the Rfam family "Bacterial small subunit ribosomal RNA", at positions 29 to 506 of the family's 1533-position model. The record is from RNAcentral.
AGUGAACGCUGGCGGUAGGCCUAACACAUGCAAGUCGAACGGCAGCACAGUAAGAGCUUGCUCUUACGGGUGGCGAGUGGCGGACGGGUGAGGAAUACAUCGGAAUCUACUUUUUCGUGGGGGAUAACGUAGGGAAACUUACGCUAAUACCGCAUACGACCUACGGGUGAAAGCAGGGGAUCUUCGGACCUUGCGCGAUUGAAUGAGCCGAUGUCGGAUUAGCUAGUUGGCGGGGUAAAGGCCCACCAAGGCGACGAUCCGUAGCUGGUCUGAGAGGAUGAUCAGCCACACUGGAACUGAGACACGUUCCAGACUCCUACGGGAGGCAGCAGUGGGGAAUAUUGGACAAUGGGCGCAAGCCUGAUCCAGCCAUACCGCGUGGGUGAAGAAGGCCUUCGGGUUGUAAAGCCCUUUUGUUGGGAAAGAAAAGCAGCAGGUUAAUACCCCGCUGUUCGGACGGUACCCAAAGAAUAAGCACCGGCUAACUUCGU